UACGUAGGGGGCAAGCGUUGUCCGGAAUCAUUGGGCGUAAAGAGCGUGUAGGCGGCUCGAUAAGUCCGCUGUGAAAGUCCAGGGCUCAACCCUGGAAUGCCGGUGGAAACUGUCGAGCUAGAGUCCGGAAGAGGCGAGUGGAAUUCCUGGUGUAGCGGUGAAAUGCGCAGAUAUCAGGAGGAACACCAAUGGCGAAGGCAGCUCGCUGGGACGGUACUGACGCUGAGACGCGAAAGCGUAAGGAGCAAACAGG
Molecule: ribosomal RNA, 253 nt
Filed under: uncultured bacterium
Lineage: Bacteria
Description: partial 16S ribosomal RNA
Rfam family: Bacterial small subunit ribosomal RNA
Source: RNAcentral